This 84-nucleotide transfer RNA is filed under the name Wolfiporia cocos MD-104 SS10. RNAcentral describes it as "Wolfiporia cocos (strain MD-104) (brown rot fungus) tRNA". It matches the Rfam family "tRNA". Rfam says of the family: Transfer RNA (tRNA) molecules are approximately 80 nucleotides in length. Their secondary structure includes four short double-helical elements and three loops (D, anti-codon, and T loops). Lineage: Eukaryota; Fungi; Basidiomycota; Agaricomycetes; Polyporales; Phaeolaceae. The record is from Rfam by way of RNAcentral.
GGUUCUGUGGUCUAAUGGUUAUGACGUUUGCUUCACAUCUGGUGUUUACGCAAAAGGUUCCCAGUUCGAUCCUGGGCAGAAUCA